This 263-nucleotide ribosomal RNA is filed under the name uncultured Clostridia bacterium. RNAcentral's name for it is "partial 16S ribosomal RNA". It matches the Rfam family "Bacterial small subunit ribosomal RNA", at positions 76 to 339 of the family's 1533-position model. The record is from RNAcentral. Lineage: Bacteria; Bacillati; Bacillota; Clostridia.
UUGCUCCGAUCGGAUUAGUGGCGGACGGGUGAGUAACACGUGAGCAACCUGCCUUCAAGAGUGGGAUAGCACCUGGAAACGGGUGGUAAUACCGCAUAAGACCACAGCAUCGCAUGGUGCAGAGGUCAAAGGAGCAAUCCGCUUGAAGAUGGGCUCGCGUCCGAUUAGAUAGUUGGUGAGGUAACGGCUCACCAAGUCGACGAUCGGUAGCCGGACUGAGAGGUUGAACGGCCACAUUGGAACUGAGAUACGGUCCAGACUCC